RNAcentral lists this ribosomal RNA (682 nucleotides) under bacterium 59-L049642-122-014-C08. RNAcentral's name for it is "bacterial SSU rRNA". It matches the Rfam family "Bacterial small subunit ribosomal RNA", at positions 60 to 755 of the family's 1533-position model. The record is from RNAcentral.
AGUCGAACGAUGAAGCCCAGCUUGCUGGGUGGAUUAGUGGCGAACGGGUGAGUAACACGUGAGUAACCUGCCCUUGACUCUGGGAUAAGCGUUGGAAACGACGUCUAAUACCGGAUACGAGCUUCCACCGCAUGGUGAGUUGCUGGAAAGAAUUUUGGUCAAGGAUGGACUCGCGGCCUAUCAGCUUGUUGGUGAGGUAAUGGCUCACCAAGGCGACGACGGGUAGCCGGCCUGAGAGGGUGACCGGCCACACUGGGACUGAGACACGGCCCAGACUCCUACGGGAGGCAGCAGUGGGGAAUAUUGCACAAUGGGCGAAAGCCUGAUGCAGCAACGCCGCGUGAGGGACGACGGCCUUCGGGUUGUAAACCUCUUUUAGCAGGGAAGAAGCGAAAGUGACGGUACCUGCAGAAAAAGCACCGGCUAACUACGUGCCAGCAGCCGCGGUAAUACGUAGGGUGCAAGCGUUGUCCGGAAUUAUUGGGCGUAAAGAGCUCGUAGGCGGUUUGUCGCGUCUGCUGUGAAAUCCCGAGGCUCAACCUCGGGUCUGCAGUGGGUACGGGCAGACUAGAGUGCGGUAGGGGAGAUUGGAAUUCCUGGUGUAGCGGUGGAAUGCGCAGAUAUCAGGAGGAACACCGAUGGCGAAGGCAGAUCUCUGGGCCGCUACUGACGCUGAGGAGCG